This 317-nucleotide RNase P RNA is filed under the name Desulfurococcaceae archaeon. Its description in RNAcentral is "RNase P RNA component". It matches the Rfam family "Archaeal RNase P". From Rfam's summary of the family: Ribonuclease P (RNase P) is a ubiquitous endoribonuclease, found in archaea, bacteria and eukarya as well as chloroplasts and mitochondria. The record is from RNAcentral. RNAcentral also lists the same sequence under 1 other name. Lineage: Archaea; Thermoproteati; Thermoproteota; Thermoprotei; Desulfurococcales; Desulfurococcaceae.
CGGAGCUGGCUGGUGGUUACGGGGGCACCCCCUGAGGAAACUCCGUCCUCCGCACGGCACCGGGACCCCGUAAGGGGUGCGGGGAGACCCGCGGCAACGGCACAGAAACGACACGCCCGCAUUAAAUGUCUAUGAUGCGGUGAGGGUUGGGUAGUAAUACCCAACCAGUAACCCGCUGAGUAUGGUGUAGGGUGCGUUGAAACGGCCGACCCCCGGGGAGUAAGGCCAAGCAGCAUCGAUGAAUGCCGUGUGAGAUGCGGGUAGGCCGCUAAGCCUAAUACCACCGUAGUACAGAAGACGGGUUAUAGCCGGCACCG